RNAcentral lists this ribosomal RNA (460 nucleotides) under uncultured bacterium. RNAcentral's name for it is "partial 16S ribosomal RNA". It matches the Rfam family "Bacterial small subunit ribosomal RNA", at positions 338 to 795 of the family's 1533-position model. The record is from RNAcentral.
CCUACGGGUGGCAGCAGUGAGGAAUAUUGGUCAAUGGACGAGAGUCUGAACCAGCCAAGUAGCGUGAAGGAUGACUGCCCUAUGGGUUGUAAACUUCUUUUAUAUGGGAAUAAAAUGUUCCACGUGUGGGAUUUUGUAUGUACCAUAUGAAUAAGGAUCGGCUAACUCGGUGCCAGCAGCCGCGGUAAUACGGAGGAUCCGAGCGGUAUCCGGAUUUAUUGGGUUUAAAGGGAGCGUAGGUGGAUUGUUAAGUCAGUUGUGAAAGUUUGCGGCUCAACCGUAAAAUUGCAGUUGAAACUGGCAGUCUUGAGUACAGUAGAGGUGGGCGGAAUUCGUGGUGUAGCGGUGAAAUGCUGAGAUAUCACGAAGAACUCCGAUUGCGAAGGCAGUUCACUGGACUGCAACUGACACUGAGGCUCGAAAGUGUGGGUAUCAAACAGGAUUAGAUACCCCAGUAGUC